Non-coding RNA from Ciona intestinalis (vase tunicate), 1512 nucleotides. The record is from RefSeq and is a predicted model, not a curated record. NCBI's taxonomy places the organism in Eukaryota, Metazoa, Chordata, Ascidiacea, Phlebobranchia, Cionidae.
GUGGCCUUGUUUCGUUUGCCCUUUUUGUUCCUCUUUUCCAGUAACCGAAUGCGGAUCGGACGUAAUCCAUCCGUUCGUAUAUAUUUCACCGUUAAUGUUUGUAUUAAUUAUAGUGUUUAACCCUAACGAAGGAUUCUAUUUGAAUAAGUUAGUAUAGAUAUAGAAAGAUGACACAUGCAAUUUUAAGUUUUUGUUGCGACUUGCACUAAAGGUUACUGUUGCGUUGCAAUUGUUUGUGUGACGUAACUAUGGGAGUAGGAGCAAGAAGAGCUGGGAGAAGAGCAGGAAGAGCAAGACGUCGCAGAGCCAAUCACCAUCGUCAUCACAGGACUGGCAUACGUCACAACAUACACCAUAGGGGACGUGUUCGUCGUGUUGGAGUCGUGAGAGGGGGGAGAUCUGCUACGGUGGUCCAUUUACGAACCCCUGCCCAAAAAGUUGGGUGUGUUUCUGUGGCCUUGCUGUUUAUGUUCGCGUUUGUAAGCGUACCUUUACUUUCCAUCGGAAGUUCAGAAAUGGGAGCCUUGUUUUACAUCGGUAUUAGUUUUGUUGUACUUGCCGUCGUCUGUUUAAUCACUUGCUUAUCCAUACAAGCCAAGAAGUCGCUCAAUCCGGUCGUUCCACCUUCUACAACCAGCACCACCACUUUUACGACACAAAUGGGUUCUAUGCCAUCGACUGUAUUUAUGACCAACGAGACAGGCACUGUACACUACCCACCAACGACAGAACCAUCAUUUCAGCAGCCGUCCAAUUACACUACCGCCCCAACGACUGCUGCAAACUUCGCACCGUACUAUGCACCUCCAAUGGGUCAACCCUAUCCAAAUACAGCUCCUACUAAUCAAAUACCGACUACCACAUACCCGCCUCAAGGUGUAAUCAUUCACGCUGACUUGCCCCCCUCCUACGACGAAGUGACAUCAAACGAUAUAUACAAAAGCCCAUCGUAAACGUGAAACCUAUUUAAAAAAUUAUUAUGGUACUGUACAGAGUGGUAAUUCAGAGCGUCAAUGGUGCAUUUAUAGAAGUAUAUUUAAACUUUGUUCAAAUUGCAUUGAACAAAUAAACACCUUAUAACGAUUAAGGUGAUAUAUGAUAUAUUCUGCAGCAAACUACGUGCCUUGUAAUAUCCCAACCGCAAGUUUUGUAGCCUUAUCCGUUUGAACAUUGUACUUACCUACAAUAUUGUACACUAUAUUGUGAUUGAGAACAGGUAGACCACAUGUCAAGUUUUCGAAUAAGGCACUGGCGAUCUAUUCCGUCUGUUUGUGUGAUUAAGAAUAUGGUUCCAUCGUUGUUGGUUCUUUUUUGGUUACCUAUAAAAGAAUAGCUUGAUAAAUUACUUGUACUACUCGGCCGUUGCAUUAGUAUUCUAACAGUUGCAAACUACGUUUUAAUUUUAUAAUGGUAUUUGUGUACAGCAAUAUUUACAUUACGAAAUAUCGUAAUAAAUUAUACGUAAUUCAAAUAUCAUUGUCAUAUAAAAAAAUAUAAUACACUUCUAUUGCU